GAUGAACGCUGGCGGCGUGCCUAAUACAUGCCAGUCGAGCGAACAGAUGAGGAGCUUGCUCCUCUGACGUUAGCGGCGGACGGGUGAGUAACACGUGGAUAACCUACCUAUAAGACUGGGAUAACUUCGGGAAACCGGAGCUAAUACCGGAUAAUAUAUUGAACCGCAUGGUUCAAUAGUGAAAGACGGUUUUGCUGUCACUUAUAGAUGGAUCCGCGCCGCAUUAGCUAGUUGGUAAGGUAACGGCUUACCAAGGCAACGAUGCGUAGCCGACCUGAGAGGGUGAUCGGCCACACUGGAACUGAGACACGGUCCAGACUCCUACGGGAGGCAGCAGUAGGGAAUCUUCCGCAAUGGGUGAAAGCCUGACGGAGCAACGCCGCGUGAGUGAUGAAGGUCUUCGGAUCGUAAAACUCUGUUAUUAGGGAAGAACAAAUGUGUAAGUAACUAUGCACGUCUUGACGGUACCUAAUCAGAAAGCCACGGCUAACUACGUG
This 497-nucleotide ribosomal RNA is filed under the name uncultured bacterium. Its description in RNAcentral is "partial 16S ribosomal RNA". It matches the Rfam family "Bacterial small subunit ribosomal RNA", at positions 28 to 507 of the family's 1533-position model. The record is from RNAcentral.